AUUUAGUUUAAAAAGUUCUAGAAUAUUAAUUUGUGGAAUUAAAGAUGGUAAAUUUUACCUUUAGAUA
RNAcentral lists this transfer RNA (67 nucleotides) under Scolopocryptops sp. 1 YG-2013. RNAcentral's name for it is "tRNA-His". The record is from RNAcentral. Lineage: Eukaryota; Metazoa; Arthropoda; Chilopoda; Scolopendromorpha; Cryptopidae.